Molecule: long non-coding RNA, 5568 nt
Organism: Meleagris gallopavo (turkey)
Lineage: Eukaryota; Metazoa; Chordata; Aves; Galliformes; Phasianidae
Source: RefSeq, a predicted model, not a curated record
GAUUAUCUUUGUGGCCCUCCUCUGGACUCUCUCCAACAGCUCCCUGUUGGAUUUUCCCAAAUUAUUUCAGUAUUUUGUCAUUUGGCUCUCUUCCUGCCUCAUCACAAACCCACCUAUUUUGUGUUUGUUUUUACCAUUUCUCUGUAAAUGCCUCUUCCUGGAAAACACAGUGACAGUAAAUAGCACAAGCUGCUGGCCAAGCUUCCGUUCCCAUGGUUUCACUUGCUCUAUUCUGUCAAGUUAUUUACAUACAGCAUACUAAGGAUAUAAUUUACUGGAAUGCUAGUAAGCACUAACAUUUGUGUCUGGCUUCAGUCCACAUAGGUCAGGCUUCCCCAGGCUGCUUCCUACUGUGAAUUCAUUGCCUACUCGCACGGCCCCGGGUUGCACUAUUUCAUGAAAGAACGGCGUGAUCUGCUCAUGCAGAAAGUACAAAAAGGACAGGCUGGGGUCAGUCGCUUUACCUGCUGUGUUGCACAACCCAGAUUUGUUCUGAACCUUGCUCUUGCAUACACGAGCCCUAGGGCGCUCAAGUGAAAGGGGUAAUCACGUCUUAACAGCUCUGGUGUGCUUCAGUACAGGAGAGAGAUUUCAAAACUAGCAUAGAUGUUUGAGAUUGACUAUAUUAUCUCUGAAAAUAGAGCUGCUGUCUCAUUCCCUGGUUCUGAAUUCAUCUAUCCCAGAGCCAUCUUGUACUCAGAGCCUUUUGGGGCAUGCAUUCCCCAGGCUUUGAAUUCCAAGAUUGCAGCUGCGUUAUACGGACUGGAUGGCAUGGCUCAUUUAAGGAGCUCAGUGUUAUCUUUUGCCCUUUGCUCUCCUGUGCCACACUGCACUGUUCCUGGCAUGCCAACAGGUCUGUCUGCAGCAGCAGGGUGAUUAACAGGCUGUUAGACGUCCUGCCCUGUGCCUGCUUUUCUUUAGCCAAAGUUGGAAGUGUAAGAAGUUUGUGUGACUUCUCUAAAAACCUGGAACGGGUCAGUGAGGUGGUUGAGAGAAUUUGCAACAAGAUAGUAAAAGCUGGUGAUAGGGCACACAGCAAAAGUCAGUCCUUGGGUUGCUGCAGCCUUCAUCUCAUUAAAUCAUGCACCUAACGAUGGGGUUUGGUUUGUAGGGGAGGAGCAGCAACACGUCCCUUGUGUGCGUAGUGGUUAAUGGUGUUUUUUCUCCUUUAGGUCUCUGAUGCAUGACUGCUGAGUGUUCUGUGUGCUGCCUUCUGAGCAGGUUUGAAGAACCAUGUCUGUGAGCAGCAGUGGUGAUGCUAAAUGUAGUCAAGCAAAUGAUGAGAGCUAGAAUAAGGUGUGGAGCAAGUUUCCCACAGUUUAACUGUUACAGAGGAUACACAUUUACCGUAUGAUGCAAUUUCUUACAGUUAAGGAUUUACAUGUUACUCCUGCACACCUAGCCAAAUACACCCUUUCUAUUUAAUGGCAAGGUAGAUUUGCACGGAGAGAAUUGGGUACUCAGCCAUUUCAUAGAUAGGAUAGAUGUUUUCCAUGUCAGUGUUUUUGCAGUGCUCCUUGAUAAGAGUACACAGUAGAAGUCCUUACCAUGCAGAUGUGUUCUACUGUCUCCAUUCUGGCAGUGGUGAAUCAUGUCCUCUGUGAGUCUUUGCUUUCACUGGAGCCAUUUCUGCUGAAAUAAUCCCCAGAGGGAUUAUUGCUGUUGUUAAGCUUUCUGGAAAAAUAAGAGGCAGAUGCGUCCUCGUGUGAAUUGGCAGGAGGGUGCUGCACAGCCAGGUGGGUGCUGCAUCUCACCUGGGAUGUAGAACAGUGUGUUGUUAUUAAUGAAUUCGUCCCAAUGAAGUCCAUUAGCCCUCCUGCAGAUCUCUGCCAGCUCAAAGCUCCUCUCAAAUCCUGGAUAGUGGGUGACCACUGGCCCAAUCCUACCCUCUAUAUGUAUUUAUAAUAUAUUGCCUCUAUUUCUUGACACAAUUUUUCACUUUAUAUAAAUCAAUAAGCCAAGGGAGUCAAGGAAAAAUAGAGAAGUGUGAUGUGCUGCUGACAGAACCCUGGAACGGAAUGGCAGUUGAGAAAGCUCAGAGGUGUCCUAGAUAAUACAGUUUGUGUGAAUGUUUCUGCUUUGUUAAAAGUUUUUAAUCCCAUCUGUCUUUCCAACUCUCAUCCCUGAGAAGGUUCUUUGCCUGCGGAUUAACCUUGUCAGGAGAACCAAGGCAUGUGACGUGCCUGGAGACAGGAGCAGUCUCAUCCAGAAGGCAGAAGCCUCGCACACUGCGUGUGGCAGUGCAAAGAUGAACAGGAGUCUUCAUGUAUGAAAUGGACCACUUCCAGAGAACCACAUCAAACUGCUACCGUGGAGUAACAGUGAGAUUCAAAGCUGUGGCACUGGCACUGUAUGACUGUCUGGCACUGAGCUGAAGGUGCAGCUAUUGUCUGCGUGCAUCACUGAAUUGGACUGAGACCAAACUACACACUUAAUAUCCAACAGCCACCAAUGCCCAGUGACAUGUUAACCACGUCAAUAAGCAAUUAGCUAAGCAGGUGCUGGGUUCUCCUGGUUAAAAGAAAACCAGACCUUCAUUAAAUUCUAAGAUAAGGUUAGAAAAAGAAUUGAUAUUGUAAUACGGUUAUCUGCUGCAUUAACUUGGGAACUGGCUAAUUUCCUCUUAAUUUGUUGACUUAACUAAAAUUGCCAAUGAAAUCAUAUAAAAUAUAGUGCAUUGCUUUGUUUUUUAAACAGCUUGGUGAAAUUAAAUGUAAAUUAGGCAAGCAAUGUGCUUUGGAAGGUUUACAUUUGCACACUCUCCGUCUGGAUGCAGUCCAUACCCAGGACAUGAGAUCUGUUUCAAUUCAUCACAUUGAAACCCAGGUCAUGGGCUCAGUAGGCAGACAGCAGCUGUGGAGUGAAAUCCUGAGCCUCCUCUGUACACCUCCAGAGUGAGCACAUAGACUGCAGCAUCCCCAGAAUCAAGGACCAGGAGAGUUUCCAUCUCACACUGCUGGGAAUGGAGCUGUUUAUCAGUUACAUGCCUUUGGACGUGCUGGCACACCUUUAUUCACCUCCAUUAAUCAAUACAAGAUAAACAAUUGCCAAAUACAUUUGCCCAUAAUGAACACCUAUGUUUGAAGUAAGACCAAGCAGGCAAUUAUGUAGAGCAAUAGUCAACUUCUGCAGGGCAAAACAGCCACCACCACUCAGCCUACAUUCCCAGCCUGCAGAGGUUCUAUUCCUGUCUGCUCAUUUUCUGUAUCUAUUUCUGUUCAUUAUUAUCUUUCAUGUUCCUUGGAAGAUUCAUUUAUAAACUUAAUGUUCUGCUUAAAUAAAAGCAUUCUCUGCUUAAAAAUACUUGCAUGCUCUAGUAAAAAUCUGCUUUCUGGAGUUAAGUGUUUUGUGUUUUGAGAUCUGCUGACUACCACGUUGCUAAUAUUAUUAUAUGUUUAUUACCUUCAAAAUGAAUUUGCCUUCCUGUAGCUGUCAUGCAAGAUUAUAAUGUGAAUUCCUCCGUUAAAAGCUGAAAAUGGUGUUCUGCUGCUCAGUGCUUAGUGUAUUCAUUUGCCCAUUUAUAAAGCAAGACUGGAUUGCAAAACAUAGCGAUUUAAACGUAAAUCUAUUGCUAAACUUUGGCCUGGAAACAUCAAGGUGCAAUCAUGAUCAUUCCUAUUUACACAAGCUGAGUACACAAGUGAAGAGUGAUAUGAGGGCAAGGCAGAGAAAGACUUGUGAAGCACCUCACUGGAGCCAAGCUGCACUGAGCUACAUUAACCAGUUGGAUUUUUCCCCUUUAAACACUUGUGGUUUUGUAAAUUUUGCAGCAUGGAGCCCUAUUUAAUAUGUGUAAAGCCUGUCCAAAGCCUAUUUGCUGCCCCUAUUCAUGUGCCUGUAUGUAAGUUUUGCAGCGCUAUGCAUAGCAUAGGUAGAAAAAGUAGUUACGUGUGUGCUUCCUUAUUCCUAAUGCAGAAGCAGCGUGAGGUGAAAAAAGAGCAAAAGGGGAAGCAAGAAUUUCUGCUGAAAAGAAGAAGAAAAAACAGGUCCCAGUGAUCCAUUUUUUAUCUGGAUACAUUUUACUGGGGCAACCCACCGAUGUCCCUGCUUACUGCUGGGUCCCGCUGCACUCCAGCAGCUGGUCAGCACGUACACACACAUAUGGAAUACCCAAGGCACGUUUCAGUACGAGCAUAGUUUCAGGCUCCUUUCACAACACUGAAGCUGUUAAUGACAAGACAUGCCUUUCACCCCUUGUCUAUUUGUACGUAACGCUGUGCCAUACUCACCAGGCACUAUAAGCCCUACCCAAGGCAAGAGCUGAGCACAAGGAACCUGCCCAAAGCACUGCCUCCCUUGGCACACCUCCAGAUGGUGAUCCUCAUAGCAAACCCCAGCCUGCCUGAUGCUCCCAGUGCGAAAAGGACACCUUAAUGCUUUACAGGUUGUUUAUGAUUAACAAGUUGAAUAGCGUUUACUGGAAGCAUUUUUUUUUUUGGACAAGAUCAGCUCUGCGAAUAGACAGGAAUAUUAGGCAGUUGGGUGCUCCUUUCCUUCUGUAGCAUGUAGGAAAACUGCUGUUGGAGUUUUUUUCCUGUUAGAAACUCAGCAACUCAGUCAGGUGGAUGAUUAAAGCACUUGGGAAUCAGCCCAGGACUUCUGUGAUGCUCUUGAAUAACAGUAUUGUCAGUGAGAUCUUCUGAAGAUGGAUGAAGACAUGGCUUGGAAGCCAAGAGCAGCACAAAAGAAAAAUACCCCAAGGAACAACAUCAAAUUAACUUCACAGAAGUUCCUUUUAAUCCAACCAAAGAGCCAGAAGGAACAAACACCACCCAUCUAAUCUGCUGACUUCAGGGAAAACUACUCUGCAUCUCAGAGACAAACUAUGCAUUUUCUGAUAGGCAGUGUUCUUCUGUUAAAUUAAAGAGAAUCUUAAACUUUGCUAAGAAAAUAACAUAUGCAUUAUAUAUGUAUAUAUAAGUGCUUUAGCAGGGGGGUUGGACUCAAUGACCUCUUGAGAUCCCUUCCAACCUUUGCAAUUAUGUGAUUCUGUGAUUACAAUUCCUUUAUCUGUAUAUAUGUACAUUUUUUUCUGUAGUGGGUGACAAAGACGUCAGCAACAUAAAUUUAUCAGAAAAAAAAGAUCUUCUCAAACCAGUUUAAAUCCUUGUUUGAGUAAGAAGAUACUCAGAGAGGGAAAAAAGCAUUAAAGAUAGGCAAUUCAGUAGGGCUUCAUGGAGAACAGCACUUGUGCAGGCUGCAGAUGUGUUAUAUGAACUACCUCUAGCUUUUCUAGUGGGUUUACACAAGGCAAGCAGCUUUCACGCCAUGUGAAGGGCAGGCUUUCAUGGAUUUGGCUUCUGGAAGUAACAAGUUAAUGACCAGUCAUCUUCAAUUCCUUCAGUCUGGAGCAGAUAAAAAGUUGCUUGCGAGCAUUUGGGAGAUUACAAGGAAAGGAGUAGCAGCCACCAUGGAUUCGUCACUGCAGUUACUUUUCUUUCUAUGGCAGGCUAACAGUCAGGCAUGAACCGUCAGUGGCAUAAAUACAGGAUGAGGAGGAGCUGGUGAGGCAGCUGUUUUUUUCUUCCAAAAUAUCUGAAAAAUAAAUGGAUCACAAUACCCAUCCAU